This 425-nucleotide ribosomal RNA is filed under the name uncultured bacterium. Its description in RNAcentral is "partial 16S ribosomal RNA". It matches the Rfam family "Bacterial small subunit ribosomal RNA", at positions 354 to 796 of the family's 1533-position model. The record is from RNAcentral.
GUGGGGAAUAUUGGACAAUGGGCGAAAGCCUGAUCCAGCCAUGCCGCGUGAACGAUGAAGGCCUUCGGGUUGUAAAGUUCUUUAGCCGAUGAUUAUAAUGACUGUAGUCGGAAAAUAAGCCCCGGCUAACUUCGUGCCAGCAGCCGCGGUAAUACGAAGGGGGCGAGCGUUAUUCGGAAUCACUGGGCGUAAAGCGUGCGUAGGCGGUUUUGUAAGUUAGGAGUGAAAGCCCAGGGCUCAACCUUGGAAUUGCUCUUAAAACUGCAAGGCUCGAAUCUCGGAGAGGAUAGCGGAAUUUCCAGUGUAGCAGUGAAAUGCGUAGAUAUUGGAAGGAACACCAGUGGCGUAAGCGGCUAUCUGGACGAGUAUUGACGCCGAGGCACGAAAGCGUGGGGAUCAAACAGGAUUAGAAACCCUGGUAGUCC